Molecule: ribosomal RNA, 253 nt
Filed under: uncultured bacterium
Lineage: Bacteria
Description: partial 16S ribosomal RNA
Rfam family: Bacterial small subunit ribosomal RNA
Source: RNAcentral
UACGUAGGGGGCAAGCGUUGUCCGGAAUCAUUGGGCGUAAAGAGUGCGUAGGCGGUUCGGCAAGUCUGCUCUGAAAGCCCGGGGCUCAACCCCGGGAGGCGGGCGGAUACUGUCGGGCUAGAGUCCGGAAGAGGCGAGUGGAAUUCCUGGUGUAGCGGUGAAAUGCGCAGAUAUCAGGAGGAACACCAAUGGCGAAGGCAGCUCGCUGGGACGGUACUGACGCUGAGGCACGAAAGCGUGGGGAGCAAACAGG